UGGUAGUCCACGCCGUAAACGAUGUCGAUUUGGAGGUUGUGCCCUUGAGGCGUGGCUUCCGGAGCUAACGCGUUAAAUCGACCGCCUGGGGAGUACGGCCGCAAGGUUAAAACUCAAAUGAAUUGACGGGGGCCCGCACAAGCGGUGGAGCAUGUGGUUUAAUUCGAUGCAACGCGAAGAACCUUACCUGGUCUUGACAUCCACAGAACUUUCCAGAGAUGGAUUGGUGCCUUCGGGAACUGUGAGACAGGUGCUGCAUGGCUGUCGUCAGCUCGUGUUGUGAAAUGUUGGGUUAAGUCCCGCAACGAGCGCAACCCUUAUCCUUUGUUGCCAGCGGUCCGGCCGGGAACUCAAAGGAGACUGCCAGUGAUAAACUGGAGGAAGGUGGGGAUGACGUCAAGUCAUCAUGGCCCUUACGACCAGGGCUACACACGUGCUACAAUGGCAUAUACAAAGAGAAGCGACCUCGCGAGAGCAAGCGGACCUCAUAAAGUAUGUCGUAGUCCGGAUUGGAGUCUGCAACUCGACUCCAUGAAGUCGGAAUCGCUAGUAAUCGUAGAUCAGAAUGCUACGGUGAAUACGUUCCCGGGCCUUGUACACACCGCCCGUCACACCAUGGGAGUGGGUUGCAAAAGAAGUAGGUAGCUUAACCUUCGGGAGGGCGCUUACCACUUUGUGAUUCAUGACUGGGGUGAAGUCGUAACAAGGUAACCGUAGGGGAACCUGCGGUUG
Molecule: ribosomal RNA, 732 nt
Filed under: Klebsiella pneumoniae
Lineage: Bacteria; Pseudomonadati; Pseudomonadota; Gammaproteobacteria; Enterobacterales; Enterobacteriaceae
Description: bacterial SSU rRNA
Rfam family: Bacterial small subunit ribosomal RNA
Source: RNAcentral